Non-coding RNA from Paramuricea clavata, 325 nucleotides. The record is from the annotation of a GenBank genome assembly. Lineage: Eukaryota; Metazoa; Cnidaria; Anthozoa; Malacalcyonacea; Plexauridae.
CCUAAAGUAGAAUGACACUUGUCCGCUAAAGUAGAAUGACGAGUGUCCUAACUCUAAACAUACAGGGUGUAUAAAAAAAAAGGUAAUCGAACUUCAGCGCGCUAUUAUAUGUGAAUUACUCGGCGUAUGAACAAUUGGUUUUCAUAUUCGGAAAGAUCAGGCUUUUAGCUUUUGAAUGACAUGCUUUUCAUGCCAAGAGGAGAAAAAAUAAGCAUGUACGAGGCAGAUUAAAAAUGUUAGUCAAAAUCGCAUAUUUUCACCUCUGUGCCUAAUUAAAACAAUGCAUAACAAAAGGAAAAGCAAUUAAUCACGAACGUGUCGUAGC